GCAGAGAGAGCUGCUUUUCCAUGAAACGGGAGUAAAGUAGUGAACAUAGAAGAGAGAAACAAACUAAAGUAUCGAUCAUAUACCACUACCAAUGUUUGGAUCGAUAUCUGCAUCGAUCUGCCCACCCUUGUCUCCUGGAUCGUAGCUGAGAUCAGCGUGAACCACGUGGGUCUCUGCUCCCUGAUCUGUUUCCUGUGUUUGGAAAGAGUUCCAGCUUCAUCCCGGAGUUUCUCUCGGUUUGUGGGCUCAUCUAAAGCUGAUCAUCAGGAGGAGACGAGCCAUUUAGACUCAGCUCAGCCACUGCAGAGGAAACAAUGACUUCAACCCAAAAGGACCAACAUGGAGCGAGAAGUCAGCGCUCUCAGGAGGCCGACAAACCUCACAGAAGAAAGAGAGAGAAAAAAUACAGCUGUGAUGAGUGUGGGAAGGGUUUUACCCGGGCUGGAGACUUAAAAACACACCAACUCAUCCACAGUGGAGUUAAACCAUACAACUGUGACUUUUGUGGAAAAUCUUUUACCCAGGCUGGAAACUUGAAACGACACCAGCUCACCCACAGUGGAGUUAAAGCGUACAGCUGUGACUUGUGUGGGAAAUCUUUUAACCAGGCUGGACACUUGAAAAGACACCAACUUAUCCACAGUGGAAUUAAACCGUACAACUGUGACUUGUGUGGAGAGUUUUUUACCCAGACUACAAGCUUAAAACGACACCAACUCAUCCACAGUGAAGUUAAACUGUACACCUGUGACCUGUGUGGAAAAUCUUUUACCCAGGCUGAAAGCUUAAAAACACACCAACUCAUCCACAGUGGAGUUAAAGCGUACAGCUGUGACUUGUGUGGGAAAUCUUUUACCCAGGCUCGACACUUAAAAAAACACCAACUCAUCCACAGUGGAGUUAAAGCGUACAGCUGUGAUCAGUGUGGUAAAGCUUUUACUCACAGUAGCCACUUACGGCUUCAUCUAGUUACCCACUCUGGAAUUAACGCGUACAGCUGUGACAUUUGUGGAAAAACUUUCAGUCGCCAAGGGGACCGAAAUAGACACCUACGCAUUCACACUGGACAUGAUGUUUACUGCUGUGAUCAGUGUUGGAAACCGUUUACAACAGAUGCACAGUUACAAAGCCACAUGUUUACCCACACUGAGGAGAGACCUUAUAAAUGUGACCUGUGUGAGAAGACUUUUAAAUCUCCACGUUACCUGAAAAUACACCAACAGAUCCACACCAGAAAGAAACUCUACAAGUGCAGUUACUGUGAGAAGCAGAGCGACACAGAUGGAUCCAGUUCUCAACCCUGUCGUCACUGUGGAGGUGGGAAAGCGUUUCGUUGUGACCUUUGUGGAAAAACUUUCAAUCAGCAACGAAGCCUAAAAAUGCAUCAGCGUAGACACACUGAAGACAAAAUGAUCUACUGUAAAGAAUGUGGGAGAGGCUUCCCCACUCAAUCUGAUUUUAAACAACAUGAAAUCUUCCACAGUGGGGUUAAAAAGCACGCCUGUAACCAGUGUGCAUACUUCUCCACCUCUGCAGGUCAGCUUAAAAGACAUAAACGAGUCCACACAGGAGAGAAACCAUACAAGUGUAGACACUGUAACAAAAGUUUCUCAGAAUCGAGCAGUCGUAACCUUCAUGAACGUAUACACAUUGAAGGGAACUUCAGCUGUGACCAGUGUGACAAGAGCUUCAAGAAUCUCAGUUCAUACUCCAAACACAAACGAUCCCAUUCUCAUUAUUCAUUAUCUGCUCUGUGCAAACAGAGUAAGCGUGAUCAUGAAAUCAUUCCUAUUACUGAAUCACAAUGACUCUGCAGAGACAGAAAGUUCCUCUUCUGGUUUCAGGUUCAGACUUAAAAACCUUGAGAUCAGGCUCCACAGAGUUCAGAUGGAAUCUGCUGUAAAGAGUAUCAGCUGAUGUCACACUUGGAUCUCAUAAGGUAGCUCUGAUUUCUGGACCUGCAGUAAAUAAUCCUGAAUCUUAAAUUUGAUAAGCUGCAAGUAUAGAUGUGUACAUCAAGUUUUUGUGUUUUAAUUUUAAUGCAUUUUAUUGCUCUGAAAUGUUAUUCCUGUUACAUUUACACAAUUCCCCCUCAGAAAACAGUAGUGUUUAGUUGUAGUACUUGUAUUAUAAAGUUAUAGAAAUAUCUUUUAAAGCCAGCUGAUAAGUGUCAGUCUUGGUAGCCGGGGAUCGGUCAACAGACAACAUAGCCCCUGGGAUCCCUGGGAGACACAAACCCCUCCACCACGAUAAGGUAGCGAUUCGCAGAGAGAAUCAGCACCUCUGAAUCUGAGGCCAUGAGCCUCAGCCGGAAAGGGGUGGAGUGCCCACUCCGGGUCAGGGACGAGACCCUGCCCCAAGUGGAGCGAAAGAACGAGAUCGCGAAUGCAAGCGGCGGAAAUGGGUUUCCUCCGAAGGGUGGCUGGCCUCUCCCUUAGAGAUAGGGUGAGCAGUUCGGCCAUUCGGGAGGGGCUCAGAGUAGAGCCGCUGCUCCUCCACAUCGAAAGGAGCCAGUUGAAGUGGUUCGGGCAUCUGAUAAGGAUGCCACCUGGGCGCCUCCUGAGCGAGGUUUUCCAGGCUUGUCCCACCGGGAGGAGGCCCCGGGGCAGACCCAGGACACGCUGGAGAGAUUAUAUCUCUCGGCUGGCCUGGGAUUGCCUUGGUUUUCCCCUGGAUAAGCUGGAGGAGGUGGCUGGGGAGAGGGAGGUCUGGGCUUCACUGCUUGGGCUGCUGCCCCUGCGACCUGGCCCCGGAUAAGCAGAAGAAAACGGAUGUAUGGAUGAUAAGUAAGUGCAGUUUAAAAUUUCAGAGCUGGUUAGAAAUGCACAGCAGCACCGAGCAGUGUUGCACAUAUAUUAAUAAAUAGAAUUUGGCCCAUUUUUCCACUCUAUGUGACUUUGAUAAUCAAAUCACCAGAAUAAAUAAGUGAUUUCAUGAAGCAUUAGUGUGCCAUUUUCAUGUUAUAUUUUCACUAUUCUUUAUAGAGCUCUAUCACCUUUUCUCUGAUAAUCUCUGUGAUUGGAGAAGGUGACGCUCACUUGAUCUAUGUUGUGCAGAUGAAAAGUGAAAUGACACGUGAAGCUCCUAGUUUGUGGUGGAAAAUUUGAGUGUCAUCCGAUUUAACUCCUAUGACUGUCGUCUGUUCAUGGUCAUGAGGCAUUUUGUGUGUCUUUGUUAUCAGGCAGAUCUGAUCUCAGGAAAUCAGUUUGGUUUCAACACUGUUUAUUUUGAGGGAAUAUUCAGGCAGUUAAAUGUGUUGAUUAAUGAACAAGAGUCUAAAAAUGGGCUAAAGGAGUUCUGAAGUACAAAUAUAUGUGCACUGUGUGUAAUGGGACUUGGCAAGACUUUUAGGUUGAGAGAUUUACUAAACAUGUCUGGGUGAGUGGCUGUGUUUUCAUCUGCCUGUGGUGUAUCUCCUGGAUCCGGCCUAUGGCAGAGCCCUUCUCGAUUUUUCUCCCAUCGGCACUAAUUAACAGGGCUGCAUUUAAGCCCUCUGUGGCUGUCUGUCCUUCCCCAGCCCAUUAACUACCUGUAAUGGAACCAGUUCUCAUGUUCUUUGUGAGUGUCUAUGCUUUUGAUUGUUAACUCACCCUGUUUUCCUUGUGUCUACAUCUCUUAUAAAACCACUGUUCAGCCUUUCAGCAGCUUGCACCCUUGCUCUGGAUUAGUUGCAGGCUACAGGUAAGAUCAUCCACAUGCUGGUUGAAAUCCCUGAUCGUUAAGAGUUUAUCCAGUUUAAUGCCGGAAGAUGAAAAGUCUGGAAAAACCUGAAUGAAAACACCACCAGGGCUGGGAGGGCUGUAAAUUAAAACACAGUAAAAUAUAUUUGAUGAACCAACCUUAAGUAGUGACUCAAAGGAGUGCAAAGUCUCAGAGUCCAUUGCUCUGCAGGAGAAACUGUCCCACCAAACGCAGAGUCCUGAUGAAAUAACAGCCGACCGGGCAGAACUCAUUAAGGUGAAACAAUGGGCCUUUCUCAGUUCUCAAGUACGUGAGUCCGUACUCGCGUUCUCGGCAAAUCCGGACUUACCAAGAACACAUGGGAGUACGGACUCGCGAUUUGUACAAUUGGAGCAACAGCGUACUUGAUGAUGUCACAGGUUCGGAGUUCCCUCUUAAUUUAACUGUGAUUAAUAUGUUAUGAAGCUUAACUUUAAUCUCAGCCAAACCGAUUUACUCAAAUGAAACUCUGAAAUGGACCAAACAUUAAGAUUUAGAAGUUAUCUAAGAGAGUUGCAUAUCAUGUUUAACCUGAGUAGCAAAAGGCCGAGGGGGGGGGUUGAAAACGAUGUGCGGGAGUCUGUUCUCGCCGGGCUCUAGUGAUCCUUGACCUCGCAGUCUGCUAUCAAGCUGGUGGGUAACAGGCAUCUCCGGAAACGUCGAAGCACUUUUGGAAAUAUGGGAUAUCUUGAUAAAUCAAGCAGAUAUUUGAAGUUUACACAACUACAUUCUCUCCUGAAAAUUACUUAAAAGUUUAUUUUGUGACCCAGAAGGAGUAAUAUUUAAAAAAAAUUUAGCCACGCUCCUCCGCCGUUGCCGUGUUUAAAUUUUGGACGAAAUGCAUUCUGGGAUAUUUAGCUGUACCAAGUCCACACAAGUCACCACCGAUGCAUGCUCGAUAAAACGGGCGGAGCGAGAACACAUCUGGGACUUUUUUGCGUUCUCUGCUUGAUGCGCAUGUCACUGUCACUAGCCGAUCCAUACCGGAAACCCGAUCGGUGCCACGCAUGUGCGAAAGGCCCAUACUUCCGCUCAUUUUACGAUAGUUACGGGUCAGAGUAUCUGUUAAGAUGUUAACAAUAAUAAGUAUCUCUUAAAAUGUUUGCAAUAAUGAAACAUUUCAAUUUAAUGUAGAGAAAAACGAAAAAUAAAAAGAUAGCCACAGAUCAGGACUCCCCGAUCCUUACUGCACAUGUGCAAAGUCAGACCAUAGAAAUCGGGUCUACCAGAUUCAUACCGCACAUGUGCAGAUGUUUUCUUCUUCUUCUGUUUCUUUUAAUGGCAGUUUACUCCCCAGUGUACGAGGAUACUGCCACCUGCUGACCGAGCGAAUGAACCCUAUUGUAAACUGAACUAGGCGUGUUAAAUUUGAUUUUGCGGUAGUCGAGUGUGUUUAUGCUUGUCUGUGUGGAGAGGAUUGUUGGAAUAGUGAUGAUGAUGUCCACUAUCACUGUCAAUUGUCAGUAAACAUUUAAUCUGGGUGAUGAAUCUUCAUGUGACAUAUUACUAGAUCUGUAUUAUAAAGUCUGUAAUUAGGCGCCAUUCUUCUUAUUUUACUGCGUUUUUGUUCAAUCAGGGGACGCUCUCUGUUGAGGAGAAAAGCAUGAAUUUGUUUGUAUACGGAUUAUCCGUUGUUUAAAUGUCCCAGGCAGUCGAAAAGGAGGCAGAGCUGUUGAGAAAUGCUAGGAGCUAACUGGGCGCUAACCCUGUCACUCAAAUAAUUAACUGUUGCAAUGUUGGCAAAAAGAAGAAAUGACGUAAGAUUUGCGCAUACGUGGUACGGAUCGGGUAGCGACAGCGUACUUUGAAUUGGAACAGUACUUGGUCUCCAACUAAUGACGUAUCACGAGCAGGGCAGUAACACGUAACUGUAAUCCGAUUACUUUUUUCAAGUAACGAGUAAAGUAAGGGAUUACUAUUGCAAAAACGGUAAUUAGAUUACCUUUACUUUCCCGUAGGAACGCUGCGUUACUGCGUUACUAAAACCGUGAGUUUUUUGCAAGAAUGUCUCAUGACAGUGACGUAAGCGAGUGCGACGUUCAUGACAACAGCUGUCUGCAGAUCAACAAUGGAUGAUAUAUCGAGUGUGCGAGAGAGUAUGAGCAUGCAGCGUUUAAAGCGUGGAAGUACUGACCUUACUUUGAGUUUGAUUCCAUAAAAAGUGACAAAAACAUUAGCGUCCGUUGUGCGUGGGAAGAAAACUUCUUUUUACAGCGAAAAAAACCCCUAAACUUCCAAGCAAGCACAGAGUGCGCUACGACGUAAUGGGAAAUUCACGGACAAACUCGCGGAGUCUUCAACUGACCGCUGCGGCACACCUGCACCAGGGAACACCUCCACCUACCCCACUCCUGCUUUACAGGUGAAAAUAGAGCAACAGGACCGCUGAUUCUUUGACUUCAUUUAUUUUCUGCUGUGUUUUACUUGCAUCUAUUUGAAAGAGUGAGUGUAAACACAAAAAAAAUAUUUUAUUUUAUGUGCUGGAAUGUGCAGAAAAUAGGUUUAAAUGUUAAACAAAUUUCUUCCAGUCAGAGAAUGUUGCAUAUAAUUUAAUUUUUGCUUGAUGCAUAAAGUUAAAAGAUUAAAACUAAUAAAACAAGUUUUAAAAAGAGACUUUUCCAUUUGAUUACAUUUUGUAUGAUGGAUUAUGCAGAAAAAGUAGAAUUGGGCUGAAAGAUCUAUCGCUUUAUCACCUAUUCAGGUUGUAAAUUGUGUUUUUAAAAAGUAACUAAGUGAUUAAUUACUUUUGAAAAUAAGUAAUCAGUAAAGUUACGGGAUUACUUUUUUGGGGGAAGUAAUCAGUAAUUAGUUACUUAUUACUUUUUUCAAGUGACUUGACCAACACUGAUCACGAGUACACAAGUACGCAUACUGAGACAGGCCCAAUUUCUUCUCCCUCUGCCAGGAUUCUGUGAGGAACAUAACGUCCAAACUAUCACUCAUUAAAAAAAGUCAUUUAGUACAAAUGAUUUGUUGGCAUAUAGAUUUGAAACAAAGAACUGAAAAACACUUGAAAUAUAUUUGCAUAUAAGACAUACAUGAAAACACAAAAACUGUCAUUGUAGUGGUGAAUAUGAUAAGUGGUAAGACAAUGAAUUUUACUUCUGUCACUGUACAUGUUAUGUAGCAGUAUCCAUUUUAUCAUGCAUGUAUGCUACUUUUCUCUGCUGACUGGAAAUGGUUUUUCUUUUGUUUUCAUGAAAUAAA
This is a long non-coding RNA of Pelmatolapia mariae (spotted tilapia), 6927 nucleotides long. RefSeq lists it as uncharacterized. The record is from RefSeq and is a predicted model, not a curated record. NCBI's taxonomy places the organism in Eukaryota, Metazoa, Chordata, Actinopteri, Cichliformes, Cichlidae. The transcript has 4 exons.